GACGAACGCUGGCGGCGUGCUUAACACAUGCAAGUCGAACGGAAAGGCCCUGCUUUUGUGGGGUGCUCGAGUGGCGAACGGGUGAGUAACACGUGAGUAACCUGCCCUUGACUUUGGGAUAACUUCAGGAAACUGGGGCUAAUACCGGAUAGGAGCUCCUGCUGCAUGGUGGGGGUUGGAAAGUUUCGGCGGUUGGGGAUGGACUCGCGGCUUAUCAGCUUGUUGGUGGGGUAGUGGCUUACCAAGGCUUUGACGGGUAGCCGGCCUGAGAGGGUGACCGGCCACAUUGGGACUGAGAUACUGCCCAGACUCCUACGGGAGGCAGCAGUGGGGAAUAUUGCACAAUGGGCGGAAGCCUGAUGCAGCAACGCCGCGUGCGGGAGGACGGCCUUCGGGUUGUAAACCGCUUUCGCCUGUGACGAAGCGUGAGUGACGGUAAUGGGUAAAGAAGCACCGGCUAACUACGU
RNAcentral lists this ribosomal RNA (467 nucleotides) under uncultured bacterium. RNAcentral's name for it is "partial 16S ribosomal RNA". It matches the Rfam family "Bacterial small subunit ribosomal RNA", at positions 28 to 506 of the family's 1533-position model. The record is from RNAcentral.